This is a long non-coding RNA of Ctenopharyngodon idella (grass carp), 888 nucleotides long. RefSeq lists it as uncharacterized. The record is from RefSeq and is a predicted model, not a curated record. The transcript is spliced from 4 exons. Lineage: Eukaryota; Metazoa; Chordata; Actinopteri; Cypriniformes; Xenocyprididae.
CGCCGCUGCUCCGCGGUCACGCGCCGGAAGUGAGUUUGAGUAGAGUUGAGUUUGCAGAAGUUCUGAGUCACUGCAGUGCAGCAGGUCAUUAGAUUCACUUCUGCACUUUAAACUCUCCUGCUGCACAUGCAGAUUUACACCGACAUGCACGUGCUUACUGACGAGUGUAUGAUGGAGAUACUGUUGCUGAAGACGAUCACAGGUCAGUGUGUGCGUCAGACUCAGACAGACAGAGUUGGUGUUGUGGCACUCAGGCGAGCAGACAGACAUCUGUCCCCAUGGCAACAGCCUCAGUCUCCUGCUAUGGACUUCCUGUGAGUGAGACAGACGCCGGCGGCUCUUUAUUUCUCCGUCUCUCUGGAGAUGUAAAUAUGAGACGCUGAUUUGAAGAGCGCUUGACAAUAAUGAAGGUGUGAUGGAAAGACUUUUAGAGCAGAUGUGAUCGAACCUCUGGAAUCAUCUGCAGGCAUGACUGCGUUUCAUCAGACUCAUCAGUAUUCAACAGACGGAGGCGGACGAGGCUUUGAUGUCAUUGUGUGACACUGGAGAAGCUCUUCAGAGACCAUCUGAAUUAUUUGCUGUUUAUUGUUUUAUUUGACAGGGACAAUACAGCAUAAUAUUGCUGCACAAUUGUGAGCUCUAUAUUGCAUAUGUUUUAUAUUUUAUUUAUAACCUUCUAUAAUAAAAUGUCAUAACUGGAUCUUGCAGUGAAGCAUCAGUCUUCUCUCUGGUGAUGUGUGCGGGAUUCUCCAAUCAUUGAGUGUGAUUUAAGCUCCGCCCCUGCAGCUCACGCUCAUCUGCAUACACUGUUCAGAGCCUCGCCCAUCAUCUCAACAGCCAAUCAACAACUGAUGCACAGAACCAAGCCCCACCCUACAUUUAUUGUUG